GCGCCCUUAGCUCAGUUGAUAGAGCAACGGCCUUCUAAGCCAAAUGCAGGUUCGAAUCCCUGCAGGGCGCG
RNAcentral lists this transfer RNA (71 nucleotides) under Salmonella enterica subsp. enterica. RNAcentral's name for it is "tRNA-Arg". It matches the Rfam family "tRNA". Rfam says of the family: Transfer RNA (tRNA) molecules are approximately 80 nucleotides in length. Lineage: Bacteria; Pseudomonadati; Pseudomonadota; Gammaproteobacteria; Enterobacterales; Enterobacteriaceae. The record is from RNAcentral.